Molecule: long non-coding RNA, 208 nt
Organism: Pocillopora damicornis (cauliflower coral)
Lineage: Eukaryota; Metazoa; Cnidaria; Anthozoa; Scleractinia; Pocilloporidae
Source: RefSeq, a predicted model, not a curated record
GCAAUGUAAAUGCGUGACUUUCAAACUUGCGUGACAUUUGCGUUACAGUUGGCCUUUGUGCCAUUUGAUUCCUUUAAAUAGUUUUUCUCUCCCGCUUUCAUUAAUCGCCUGUUCAUCCAAAGUUAAUUUAUAAAGUGUGAUUUCAAGCCACCGGCGUAUAGGGACUGAUAUUUUACGAGAUUGAUUGAAGUUAUGUCCCUGUAAUAUA